GCCUGGGUGGCUCAGUCAGUUAAGCGUCUGACUUUGGCUCAGAUCAUGAUCUCACAGUUCCUGGGUUCAAAUCCCACAUCGGGCU
RNAcentral lists this transfer RNA (85 nucleotides) under Felis catus (domestic cat). It matches the Rfam family "tRNA". From Rfam's summary of the family: Transfer RNA (tRNA) molecules are approximately 80 nucleotides in length. Their secondary structure includes four short double-helical elements and three loops (D, anti-codon, and T loops). The record is from Rfam by way of RNAcentral. Lineage: Eukaryota; Metazoa; Chordata; Mammalia; Carnivora; Felidae.